This is a long non-coding RNA of Heterocephalus glaber (naked mole-rat), 2413 nucleotides long. Lineage: Eukaryota; Metazoa; Chordata; Mammalia; Rodentia; Bathyergidae. The record is from Ensembl.
AAACAUUCCUUUAUUUCACACAAGUGCAUUAAGUACUGUACAUCUGUUACAACACACGACGUACUGAGUUAUGAAGAUUCACAACAGACACAACCUUGUCUGUCUGCACGUGCAUCUGUAUUCUGGUCAUCUGGCAGUAAGUCUUGUUCAUCUGUUUACAGAGGCCUCUGCCUCUGGUCCACAGGUACCCGCUCGGGUAUUUACAAAUGAUUACAAUUUGUAUUAUCAUUUAAGUAUUAAUAUCAGUAUUGUUUAUUUAUACUUAUGUAUCACUACUUUAUAACUGAAUGCGUCCAGUCGUGUUGCCACCAACAUACUAAAUGCAUCCAUCUCACAGAUGAGCUGAACUGGGCUUAUUUUGGGGCUUGGGCUUGUAUUUCCAGCAUCCUGAGAAAUCAUGCUAGGGCUUAUUUUUCCAGUUAGGUCUUAUUUUUGGUUAAACACAGUACCAAGUUCUAGGCUGGCAUAAAGUACAAAGUGAGAAGCUCCCCGAAAAACAAAUGAAACUCCACACAUGUUAGAAGAAAUAGUACAAAGCAUUUUGGGUACAGAAAAAAAGCAACAAAUUCUGCACUGCUCAAAAUGUCUACACCAACAAGCACUCCCCUUAUGGAAAAAAUAUAAACUGGGGCCACUAAGGUGUUCAACAAAACCUGCUGCGCAUGAGCUCACUUGCAACUCCACAAGAUCUAAGAGAAGGUGUAGAACAAUUAAAGAUCACUCUACCUGUUGCCUUCACAGCCAUGGGUCUGGUGGUCAUGACUGGUUUUGGAGGAUUCUGAACUCUGGGCACCUCCACCACCACUUCCUGCUCAUCUAGAUUUGAAAACGAAAAAAAAGAAACUGCAGUCAGGGCUUGGACCAAGAAAACACUAUAGGUGACAGACAGGUCCGUGGUUUCACAUUGCAGAUCUAAAUUUCAUCAACUUAAAAAAAAUCAAGGCAAGGUCCCACAUGGUGGCAGCGCAUGCCUGUAAUUCCAGCACUCCGGGAGGCUGAGGCAGGAGGAUUUUAAACUCGAGCCCAGCCUAGGUAACUCAGACUCUAUCCCAAGAUUUAAAAAAGGGCCAGGAUGAAGCUCAGUGCAAAGGCCCUGGGUUCAGUCCCCAGCACAACAACAAAAAAAAGGGUAUGGAAGGAAAAAGAACCACUAACCCAGAUGUCAAUGGCUUGAUCUUAGAUUUCCCAGGGUCCAGAGUUUUUUUCCUACGCUUAUUUUGAGGCUCCCUAAAUCGCUCAGGCUGAGCUCGAAACUUGGGAUCCUCCUGCUUCAGCCGGGCCACGCUGCUUCUCAGUUAAGGUAACGUCUCAACACCGGAAAUGGUCCCAGUGCCUAACCCUGCACGUAAGUCCUACAGAGAACUCUUCGUCCAAGAUUGAGGUUUUCCUGACCUCUCCAUUUUAGGGAGAACACAAGUACUUGAAACUCGCAGGUUCCACUUCUCCAUCAGUUUUGGGGACACCUGUAAAUCUGGGGACACUUUGGCUUUGUCUGGCAUGACAAAAAGGGUUUAACUUUUGUUUUAAAUAUUGGGGAUGAAAUCCAGGGACGCUCUGGCACUAAGCCAUAUCACCAUCCCUUUUAAAUUUUUGAGACAGGGUUUCAAGUUGUUGCCCGCGGUGGUCUCCUGCCUCAGCCUCCCGCGCAGCUGGACUCAUACGAGUGCGCCAGCUUGUUCCAGUCGCUUUUCUGCUUAACAAAACCGAAAGGAAGCGGGCGAGGCACCGAAGAGACCCCGCUGGCCUCGCUGCCGCCGGGAUGCGGGGGUCGCGGGCUCCCAGCGCGCUCCGCGGCGGCCAUGGCGCCCGCCGCCGCCCCGACCCAGUCCGCGCCGCUUCCUGGCGUCCUCACCUUCCGAAGCGGAGUCGUCGGGGGCCGCGGCGGCCGUGAUCGCGGGCGCCGUCGUCGCUGCUGCCGCCGCCGCCGCCGGGGCGGGCUGGCUAGGGGCGGCCGCCGUGGCGUCCGGUUCAGGGUCGGGAUCGGGGACGGGGUCGGGGUCCCGGCCUGGCGUGCUGCUGCGGGGCCCCGGCGGAGAGAGCUGCAGGAUGGGCCUGCGGCCGGGUACCGCCCGCGACUUCUUCCCCAUCGCGAGCCGGAACGCGAGCGGCGAGCGUCGGCAGCCGAGAGGGGCGGGCGCGGCGCGACAGGAUCUUGACGUGUAGUUCAGGCCUUACGUAUCCCAGGCUGUCCUGGAACCUGCAAUCCUCCUGGCUCAGCCUCCCGCGUAGCUGGGGUUACAGGCGUUCGUCACCAGGCCUGUUGGUACCCAUCUACCUCUGUGUUGUGCUUAAGAAAUACCAGUGGUUGCUCUUCAUAGUAGCUGAGACUUCUGGGAAGAUGGCAGAGUGGUGAGCAUCAGAGAAAGAGCCUCUCUGAGAUCUGGUGUCCAGACAUUGGAAUAUAGUAAUGUGA